Molecule: ribosomal RNA, 494 nt
Filed under: uncultured bacterium
Lineage: Bacteria
Description: partial 16S ribosomal RNA
Rfam family: Bacterial small subunit ribosomal RNA
Source: RNAcentral
GACGAACGCUGGCGGCGUGCUUAACACAUGCAAGUCGAACGGUGAAGCGCCUUCCUUUUUGGUGGGUGUGGAUGAGUGGCGAACGGGUGAGUAACACGUGAGUAACCUGCCCCCUUCUUCUGGAUAACCGCAUGAAAGUGUGGCUAAUACGGGAUAUUCUGGGUCUGUCGCAUGAUGGGUCUGGGAAAGAUAUUGUUUCGGUGGGGGAUGGGCUCGCGGCCUAUCAGCUUGUUGGUGGGGUGAUGGCCUACCAAGGCGGUGAGGGGUAGCCGGCCUGAGAGGGUGGGCGGUCACACUGGGACUGAGACACGGCCCAGACUCCUACGGGAGGCAGCAGGGGGGAAUAUUGCACAAUGGGCGCAAGCAUGAUGCAGCGACGCCGCGUGAGGGAUGGAGGCCUUCGGGUUGUGAACCUCUUUCGCCAGUGAAGCAGGCCUGCCUCGUUUGUGGGUGGGUUGACGGUAGCUGGAUAAGAAGCGCCGGCUAACUACGUG